RNAcentral lists this ribosomal RNA (417 nucleotides) under Leptographium koreanum. Its description in RNAcentral is "eukaryotic LSU rRNA". It matches the Rfam family "Eukaryotic large subunit ribosomal RNA", at positions 1 to 419 of the family's 3401-position model. The record is from RNAcentral. Lineage: Eukaryota; Fungi; Ascomycota; Sordariomycetes; Ophiostomatales; Ophiostomataceae.
UUGACCUCGGAUCAGGUAGGACUACCCGCUGAACUUAAGCAUAUCAAUAAGCGGAGGAAAAGAAACCAACAGGGAUUGCCCCAGUAACGGCGAGUGAAGCGGCAACAGCUCAGAUUUGGAAUCUGGCCCCCAGGGCCCGAGUUGUAAUCUGGAGAGGAUGCUUCUGGCGCGGCGCCUUCCGAGUUCCCUGGAACGGGACGCCGGAGAGGGUGAGAGCCCCGUACGGUUGGACGCCUAGCCUUCGUGAAGCUCCUUCGACGAGUCGAGUAGUUUGGGAAUGCUGCUCAAAAUGGGAGGUAAAUUUCUUCUAAAGCUAAAUACCGGCCAGAGACCGAUAGCGCACAAGUAGAGUGAUCGAAAGAUGAAAAGCACUUUGAAAAGAGGGUCAAACAGUACGUGAAAUUGUUGAAAGGGAAG